AAUAAAUGCAGUUUUAGCACUAUUCAUAUUCAACGUUUGACCGUUCGUUUUAUUUGAAAAAAGAUUAUGAUUAGUAUUUUUAUUGUUAUUAGAUGAUACAACAUGAAUAAUACUUUAUGUGUGACUAAUUUUUUUUAAUAUUUUUCAUAUUUUUUUUUAAAUAAGACGGAUGGUCAAAGCGCUAAACAUGGAUAUUUUAUGACUGCACUUAUU
Oryza sativa Japonica Group (Japanese rice) is the source of this 213-nucleotide microRNA precursor. It matches the Rfam family "MIR812 microRNA precursor family". Lineage: Eukaryota; Viridiplantae; Streptophyta; Magnoliopsida; Poales; Poaceae. The record is from Rfam.